This 497-nucleotide ribosomal RNA is filed under the name uncultured bacterium. RNAcentral's name for it is "partial 16S ribosomal RNA". It matches the Rfam family "Bacterial small subunit ribosomal RNA", at positions 28 to 507 of the family's 1533-position model. The record is from RNAcentral.
GAUGAACGCUGGCGGCGUGCCUAAUACAUGCAAGUCGAGCGAACAGAUGAGGAGCUUGCUCCUCUGACGUUAGCGGCGGACGGGUGAGUAACACGUGGAUAACCUACCUAUAAGACUGGGAUAACUUCGGGAAACCGGAGCUAAUACCGGAUAAUAUAUUGAACCGCAUGGUUCAAUAGUGAAAGACGGUUUUGCUGUCACUUAUAGAUGGAUCCGCGCCGCAUUAGCUAGUUGGUAAGGUAACGGCUUACCAAGGCAACGAUGCGUAGCCGACCUGAGAGGGUGAUCGGCCCCACUGGAACUGAGACACGGUCCAGACUCCUACGGGAGGCAGCAGUAGGGAAUCUUCCGCAAUGGGCGACAGCCUGACGGAGCAACGCCGCGUGAGUGAUGAAGGUCUUCGGAUCGUAAAACUCUGUUAUUAGGGAAGAACAAAUGUGUAAGUAACUAUGCACGUCUUGACGGUACCUAAUCAGAAAGCCACGGCUAACUACGUG